RNAcentral lists this ribosomal RNA (253 nucleotides) under uncultured bacterium. RNAcentral's name for it is "partial 16S ribosomal RNA". It matches the Rfam family "Bacterial small subunit ribosomal RNA", at positions 524 to 776 of the family's 1533-position model. The record is from RNAcentral.
UACAGAGGUCUCAAGCGUUGUUCGGAUUCAUUGGGCGUAAAGGGUGCGUAGGCGGCGCGGUAAGUCGGGUGUGAAAUCUCGGAGCUUAACUCCGAAACUGCAUUCGAUACUGCCGUGCUUGAGGACUGGAGAGGAGACUGGAAUUUACGGUGUAGCGGUGAAAUGCGUAGAGAUAGGGGAGAACACUCGUGGCGAAGGCGGCCAGCUAGACCAGUUCUGACACUGAGGCGCGACAGCGUGGGGAGCAAACAGG